CAGUAGCCGCGGUAAUACGAAGGGUGCAAGCGUUACUCGGAAUUACUGGGCGUAAAGCGUGCGUAGGUGGUGGUUUAAGUCCGUUGUGAAAGCCCUGGGCUCAACCUGGGAAUUGCAGUGGAUACUGGGUCACUAGAGUGUGGUAGAGGAUAGUGGAAUUUCCGGUGUAGCUGUGAAAUGCGUAGAGAUCGGAAGGAACAUCUGUGGCGAAGGCGACUAUCUGGGACAAUACUGACGCUGAGGCACGAAAGCGUGGGGAGCAAACAGGAUUAGAUACCCCAGUAGUCCCUGUCUCUUAUAC
This 301-nucleotide ribosomal RNA is filed under the name uncultured bacterium. RNAcentral's name for it is "partial 16S ribosomal RNA". It matches the Rfam family "Bacterial small subunit ribosomal RNA", at positions 509 to 807 of the family's 1533-position model. The record is from RNAcentral.